AAGUCGUAACAAGGUUUCCGUGGGACCAUUCCUGGUUGCGAUGUAAACGUGGUCUCCACUUCAACUUGUUUAGUACCUUUUGUCCUCUACCCGUACCGCUUGUCGCCACGAUUUGGAUCUUGAUGCACCCGUUUUCUUAUAACCACCGCUGGAAAACUAUGUCUUCCCGCAAAAGUACCCGCUCGGGGGGCCUGAGAACCUUCCAGAGCUGGAAUACCCGAACAACUGUUAACAAUGGAUAUCUUGGCUCUC
RNAcentral lists this unclassified non-coding RNA (252 nucleotides) under fungal sp. Its description in RNAcentral is "partial internal transcribed spacer region". Lineage: Eukaryota; Fungi. The record is from RNAcentral.